This 252-nucleotide ribosomal RNA is filed under the name uncultured prokaryote. RNAcentral's name for it is "partial 16S ribosomal RNA". It matches the Rfam family "Bacterial small subunit ribosomal RNA", at positions 524 to 776 of the family's 1533-position model. The record is from RNAcentral.
UACGGGGGGGCAAGCGUUGUUCGGAAUUACUGGGCGUAAAGGGUUUGUAGGUGGCCGGCUAAGUCAGACGUGAAAUCCCUCAGCUUAACUGGGGAACUGCGUCUGGGACUGGUCGGCUUGAGGGCCGGAGAGGAACGCGGAAUUCCAGGUGUAGCGGUGAAAUGCGUAGAUAUCUGGAGGAACACCGGUGGCGAAGGCGGCGUUCUGGACGGCAUCUGACGCUGAGGCGCGAAAGCUAGGGGAGCAAACAGG